This 240-nucleotide unclassified non-coding RNA is filed under the name soil metagenome. Its description in RNAcentral is "partial contains 5.8S ribosomal RNA, internal transcribed spacer 2, and large subunit ribosomal RNA". The record is from RNAcentral.
AACGCACGAGACCUGCGGACCUGCGGAAGGAUCAUUAACGAAACUUCAGUCGGCUUGUUAUCUGUGCUGGUGGCGACACAUGUGCACGUUAACAGGUCGCAUAUCCACACACCUGUGCAUCCUAUGACUCCGAGUGCCCUUUGUGUGCCUUUAUGGGCUGGCAACUCGAGAGUACUUUACACACUCUUGAAUGUAAUGGAAUGUCUGUGCAUAAUGUGCAAUCUGAAACAACUUUUAGCA